Molecule: non-coding RNA, 257 nt
Organism: Paramuricea clavata
Lineage: Eukaryota; Metazoa; Cnidaria; Anthozoa; Malacalcyonacea; Plexauridae
Source: the annotation of a GenBank genome assembly
UUUCAAUUCCGUCUGUAUAUUUUCCAUAUUUUCUUGGAUGAUAUCCAAUUUGUCCAUCUUCUUGCUCAUACCAGAUAUCAACUCAAAUAUAUCUUGUAGUUUGACUUCGCUUCCAAAAUUUUUGUUCAUCUCCUUCUCUGUACCCUUAUCUUCCAUUUUUGUGUUCUGAUUAGACUUGCUGGGCGUUUUUUUCAAAGAAUUAUUUGUAUUUUGCGCACUGCGCUUUGAACCUUGUGUUACCGACAUGACACCCGACA